GGUUUGUCUUCCUCAGCAAGAAGAGGGUAGAAGUCCAGCCACCACUGCAAAGAUGAUGGACUGUCAAUAUUGACAUCACCAUCUUCUUCAUUUACAUGCACUGUUACUCCUAAAGGUACUCUUCCAGGGGGAUAUAAUGCCCACCUUUUACGGCCAUAUAAAAGUGUAUUCCAAGCACUAGUUAGGGAUGGAUCAACAUGCCAAGAGGCACCAGACCUCUCUGGUCCCAUAAUGAGCCAUCUGAAGGAAGGUCGCUGGUCCAUGUCCAGCACAUCAAAGAAGUCCUCUUUGAACAUAUUUGGAACAGUGUACUCCUUCAACAACUCUGGUGCAGCUUCCCCAAACUUCUCGUCAAAAAUGUAAAGAGGAUCCUCGUCAUGCUGAACUUUCAUAUAUGCCACAUAGUCCUUCAGUUUCAUCCUAAUUUUGUGACGACUUCUUUGAGAUAAUUUAAAUGCUGUAUCUCCAUAAUUUUUUAAAAGCUCCUCCGUUGUCCAUGUAGUCCUACUUAAACCUCCUCCAUUUCUUCUUCCUUUCAACCUCCUUCAUCAAUUCCUAUUCCUUCUCCAAAUUCUCAACCAUGAAGUUCCCCAAAAACUUCUUCAAGUCCAAAAAAUCCAGAUCCCUUUCCCGAUCCGAUGAUCCAUCUUACUCAUCUUCCUCCUCCUCCUCCAACAAAGGCGGUAGCGUCGGAGGAAUUUCUACUCCUACGAGCGUGUUACCUACUUUAUCCAACGAGAUCUCAGCUGAUGAGUGGUCCGACAUCUCUACCGCCGGAGUUUACUCCGAUCUCGUUCAAGCGUUUUCCGUUAUCGAUAACGGAGACGGUAAGAUUAAGAAGGAGAAACUCGAAGCGAUUUUAAGCAGAGUUGGAGGUAAAUCUCCACCGAGUGAAGAGGAACUUGUGUUGUUGCUUGAUGAAUUGGAUAAGAACGGAGAUGGAUGUAUUAGUUUAGAGAAUUUUGAAACUAUUACCUCGGCGUUUGAGUCGACAUCGACGUCGGCAGCGGGAGAUGCAGGUGAGAUGAGAGAUGCGUUUGAUUUCUUCGAUGAGGAUCACGACGGGAAAAUCACCGGUGAGGAAUUGUUUAACGUGUUUAGAAUGAUCGGCGAUGAACGGUGCACGUUAGAGGAAUGUAAGCGUAUGAUAACAAGUGUAGAUAAAAAUGGAGAUGGAUUCGUCUGCUUCGACGAUUUCUGUCUUAUGAUGGAACAGCAGAGAUAAUCGUUGGAUCAAAAUUUUUGCUUGUGAUUCCUGAAAAAAAAUAAGUCUUUUUAUUUUAUUUUUGGGGAAAAAAUGAUGUGAUUAUUUAAUAACUUGGAUUAAUUAGAAGAAUGAUCAUGCCAAUAUUGUGUAUAACAAAUUUAUGGACUCAGA
This 1378-nucleotide unclassified non-coding RNA is filed under the name Hevea brasiliensis (rubber tree). The record is from RNAcentral. Lineage: Eukaryota; Viridiplantae; Streptophyta; Magnoliopsida; Malpighiales; Euphorbiaceae.